UACGUAGGUGGCAAGCGUUAUCCGGAUUUAUUGGGCGUAGAGGGAACGCAGGCGGUCUUUUAAGUCUGAUGUGAAAGCCUUCGGCUUAACCGGAGUAGUGCAUUGAAAACUGGGAGACUUGAGUGCAGAAGAGGAGAGUGGAACUCCAUGUGUAGCGGUGAAAUGCGUAGAUAUAUGGAAGAACACCAGUGGCGAAAGCGGCUCUCUGGUCUGUAACUGACGCUGAGGUUCGAAAGCGUGGGUAGCAAACAGG
This 253-nucleotide ribosomal RNA is filed under the name uncultured bacterium. RNAcentral's name for it is "partial 16S ribosomal RNA". It matches the Rfam family "Bacterial small subunit ribosomal RNA", at positions 524 to 776 of the family's 1533-position model. The record is from RNAcentral.